UGUUAGCCAGGAUGAUCUCGAUCUCCUGACCUCGUGAUCCGCCCGCCUGGGCCUCCCAAAGUGCUGGGAUUACAGGUGUGAGCCACUGCACCCGUCCCAUAGUUGUCUUUUACAUUGUAUUCUGUUUUACCAAAAAAGUGCCCCCAUAGCUUACCAUGCAGGGAACUCUGAUGCUUCCCUUUCCAUUUGAAAGUCAUAAAUACAUACUUCUAGAUUCACUCCAUCAGCCAUCAAAGAGCCUAUCCAAAAUUAUUUUUUUCUAGCCAAUUCAGAGACUUCUACAUUCAUUUUCUCAUUUGUCCAUUUACUCAUUCUGUGAUAGAAAAGCAGAAAUGUGGUUUGUAAAAUCCCAGCCCCAGCAUCAUAUAGAAUGCAUUUGGAGCUGAGGGACAACACUUGGGUGAAUUGCUUCCCCUCUCUGAGUCUGUUUCCUCUUUUAUAAAAAGUUGGAUGUUCAAUUAAGCAUUAUAUACAACAGCAAAAGAAAAAAUGAAAAUGACUUUAAGCAACCUAACUGGUAAAAAUAAUUAUAGUCAAACUAUAUCAUAGAAUAUAGCAUAUUUGUUAAGAAUGAUUUGGAUGAAGAUGAUGUGGGAAAUGUUUUAAAUUAUAUGGUGUUAAUAUAAUAAAAUUAUAAUAAAACAAGUUAUAAACAGGUAAAUAUAACAUAGGAUCCCAGUUUUGUUUAAAAAUAUACAUAAUAUCCUUUGAAAAAAGACUAAAAAGAUAUAUGACCAAAUGUUUACAACUGAUAUGUUUUCUAGGUAGGAUUAUAGGUGAUUUCUAGUUUUUUCUUUAUUUUCCAAUUUUUCUAAAAUUAAUAUAUCUUAGGUUUGUUUCAAGUAAAAAGCUUUUAAAAUUUUUUAAAUUAAAGGGGUAGGCUUAUCACCAAAGUCUCUUGCAGCCAGAACAUUCUGUGACUCAUUGAUUUAUUCAGAUGUAUGUAUUGAGCACCUACUGUAUACCAGCCACUCUGCCAGGUACUGGGGAGAAGUUAAAGAUGAUUAAGAUAUUAUACCAUGCAGCUUACAGUCUAGAGGGGAAUCGAACACAUCUCAUUCAUUUUUAAAGCCCCAGUAUUUGGCUCAGUGCCCCAAACACAGCAGUUGCCCAUUUGAUGUUUGUCGAACAAAUGUUUAUUAUAAUCACCUAUCUGAAAAUCAAAGCAGAAUAUCUACCUGAGACAAGGAGAUACAAGGGGUAUAUAUGGGGGUGCCGUGGAGGUAACCAGAGGGAAUAAGGGCUGCAAGGGGAGGGGCAUGUAGACCAGAAUGUGAGAUGUAAGUGGAAGGUCCAACUUGCCUGUGUGUGUUGGGUGUAGACAGGAAUGGAGAGACCCACCCCCUUGCUAGGAUGUUCUUCGAUGGUCCCCAAGAACACCUAAGGUGAUCAGAGGUUCCCUGCAUUCCUAGGGGAGGUCAAGGAACCAGGUCCCUCCCUCUGCAGGUAAUCCCUCAAGCCAGCAUCCUUCACUUGCACGAAGGAAAUGCAUGUCUCCUGAUAUAUUUCCAUCUGAGUGAGAGGCAAAUGGACAAAAGCAGGUUGGCCGCUGCGCAGAAGAUUCCCACAUCUAAGCCACGGACCCUCCUUUGCCCCAGCUCCUCUGUGUGGUGCCUGGUGAGGCUUCAGGUGGCUGCCCAGUUCCACAUGGCUAGGGAGGCCUCACAUCAUGGUAGAAGGCAAGGAGGAGCAAGUCUCAUCAUAUGUGGAUGGCAGCAGGCAAAGAGCUUGUGCAGAAAAACUCCCAUUUUGAAAACCAUCAGACCUUGUGAGACUCAUUCACUAUCACAAGAACAGCCUAGGGAAGACCCGCCCCAUAAUUCAAUCACCUCCCACCAGGUUUCUACCAUUACACGUGGAAAUUGUGGGAGUUACUAUUCA
RNAcentral lists this long non-coding RNA (1881 nucleotides) under Homo sapiens (human). RNAcentral's name for it is "HSALNT0215109". The record is from RNAcentral. Lineage: Eukaryota; Metazoa; Chordata; Mammalia; Primates; Hominidae.